This 326-nucleotide unclassified non-coding RNA is filed under the name Planchonella cyclopensis. Its description in RNAcentral is "partial contains external transcribed spacer (ETS) and 18S rRNA gene". The record is from RNAcentral. Lineage: Eukaryota; Viridiplantae; Streptophyta; Magnoliopsida; Ericales; Sapotaceae.
UCCUAUGUUUCAUGCCUAACGUGACGGAAAUUGGCCCCGGAUGAGUCCUAAGUUUUGCCUCACCAAUUCGUGGGUGUUAGGUUGACGUGGAAGUACUGCCCAUUCUCCCUGAUUGCUCCGCCCUUUUGCGUUGCAAUCGUGGCCCAUGGGUUGCUACUAGUUCCCUCGGAUGCAGAACCUUUGAGGGGUGCAUGGUAUGCUGCUGUUGUUUACCCCCCAAGGCAUUUAUCGAUCGAUGCGUAUGACAGCUGCGCCCCGUUUUGGUCCCCUCUCCAAAUUGUUUGGAUGGGUCUCAUGCGGUGCCGGUGUCGCGAAGGAAUGCUACC